GUCACUGUAGGGCAAUGAAUAGUGUGUGUGUGUGUGUGCGUUGGACUUCUAAUUCAAAGGUCGUGGGCUUCGAAUCCUACCUGUGAUG
Molecule: non-coding RNA, 88 nt
Organism: Trichonephila clavipes
Lineage: Eukaryota; Metazoa; Arthropoda; Arachnida; Araneae; Nephilidae
Source: the annotation of a GenBank genome assembly